Molecule: ribosomal RNA, 809 nt
Filed under: uncultured bacterium
Lineage: Bacteria
Description: bacterial SSU rRNA
Rfam family: Bacterial small subunit ribosomal RNA
Source: RNAcentral
AGAGUUUGAUCCUGGCUCAGAGCGAACGCUGGCGGCGUGCCUAACACAUGCAAGUCGAACGUGAAUGGGAGCAAUCCCUAGUAAAGUGGCGUACGGGUGAGUAACACGUAGGUAAUCUACCCUAAAGUUUGGAAUAACCUGCCGAAAGGCGGGCUAAUACUGGAUAGAGCGACGGAAUCCGUAAUUGGGUUUUUCGGGAAAGGGAGGUCGUAAGACCCCUCGCUUUAGGAUGAGCCUGCGUCCCAUUAGCUAGUUGGUAGGGUAACGGCCUACCAAGGCAAUGAUGGGUAGCUGGUCUGAGAGGAUGAUCAGCCACACUGGAACUGAAACACGGUCCAGACUCCUACGGGAGGCAGCAGUGGGGAAUCUUGCGCAAUGGACGAAAGUCUGACGCAGCCACGCCGCGUGAGUGAAGAAGGCCUUCGGGUUGUAAAGCUCUGUCGUUCGGGACGAAAAGGUUUAGAGUGAAUAGCUCUAGAUCCUGACGGUACCGAAAAAGGAAGCACCGGCUAACUCCGUGCCAGCAGCCGCGGUAAUACGGAGGGUGCAAGCGUUGCUCGGAAUUAUUGGGCGUAAAGGGUAGGUAGGUGGUCUCAUUUGUCUGGGGUGAAAGCCUUGAGCUUAACUCAAGAAGUGCCCCAGAAACGGUGAGACUAGAGUUCUGGAGAGGGUCGUGGAAUUCCCGGUGUAGCGGUGAAAUGCGUAGAGAUCGGGAGGAACACCAGAGGCGAAGGCGGCGACCUGGACAGCAACUGACACUCAACUACGAAAGCGUGGGGAGCAAACAGGAUUAGAUACCCUAGUAGUCC